CAACAGUUCAUUAAAGGCUGAAGUACCUAUGUCCUCAGUAGUUAAGGGUACUGAUGAUGGAUCUGGUGACAAAGUAAACAAGGAUUUUAUGUUUUAUUAAGUGUAUUAACAUAGUCUGUGGGUUAAUUAAUUUGCCAGGUUCCUAAACCUACUAGCCUAAAGAUGUUAGUAUCUUUUCCUUCAGGCAAUUAUUAAUUCCUCUUCCUCAGCAAGGGCAGGAUUAAAACUUAGCCCCAAAUUCAUGAUUAAGUUGAGAACAUGUAUUCAUGUGGCUCCCUUCCGAAGUUCACAUCUGGUUUCUAUAGAAAUUCUCCUGCUAACCUAAGGGACAUGCCAAAUCACCUCUUCGAUGAAGCUCUCUUUCCUAACACUGAAUUUCUGCACUCUAUAGGCUGGAACAGCGAGAUGCAAAAAUCCUGAACCUUCAAAGCCAGCUCCUGCAGAAGAGAGAGGGCCUGGCAGCUGAGCUGGAUGCUUCAGGAGCAGAGGAUCUAUCAACUGCAGACCAAGCAUAGGGAGACGCAGGCAGACCUGGAACAGAAACCCAGCCAGCGCCAGCCGCUCCGACAGUACUUGGUGGCCGGAGAGUCGGCAGCAGGAAGCAUGAGGCAGGAAAUGACCCAAUCCUUGAGGUCUGGUCAUUUUUCUGUGCAUCGAUCUAUUCCUUGGAUUGUUUUGAAGUUAAUAUUGCAGUUGCCUUGA
Molecule: long non-coding RNA, 702 nt
Filed under: Felis catus (domestic cat)
Lineage: Eukaryota; Metazoa; Chordata; Mammalia; Carnivora; Felidae
Description: lncRNA (ENSFCAG00000040926.2)
Source: RNAcentral